GCAAGGGGCCUACUUCGUUAACUUUUAUGAAGGUUGUAACUAUGCUCGCCCAAGCAAUCGUUGAUACUGCAUCAGAACGGCAAGUUGGGCCAGUUGGUUGGGAUUCAUACUAAGGUUUGUUACAGCGCAACCUAAGACAAGGACAACAGAAGGUACAAAACAGCGCCGUGUCGUCAUUUUGUACCUUCUGUUGUCCUUGUCUUAGGUUGCGCUGUAACUAACCUUAUUAUGAAUCAUUGAUACCCCUUCCCGUCUGUCUAAUGUAGACGCCCUUGCACAACAAGGGAAACUUGUAUACCAUAGCUCAAGUGCAAUUAACAUGCCCGUUCAUGUCUUUUUUCCAACCAGUGUGUCAAAACAGAUAUAAAAUACUCGCAAAUAUGCAAUGACCACUACGUCACUUCACAUUUAUUCUGCAAUAUUCUGCUAUCUCAACUGCAGGUUGCCAAGAAUGAAAAAUUACCAGAGUGCGCUACUCGAAUGGUGUUCACUGUAUCUGAUGAGUGUCUUGAUUUACCUAAUCGAUGAGAUGUCAGUGAAAAGCUUUGUAUGAUGGUUACAAAUGGCCGGUAACAGCAUUUAAGACAGCCUAGGAUUUGUGAAGGCACGAGAAUGAAAGCCCGUGAAAUAAAUAAAAGGUGAAAAUAAACUGUCCUUACCAUGACAAUGCUUCUGCGCACUAUUGCAUCAAUCUUUACAAAAACUUUGUCAAAUAGGGGCACUGGGAAAGAGCAGCUGCAGUUUUUUCUCGACAUGUCAGCAGUUUUUGGCGGGCAAGUACAGUCCCUACCAAAUGCGAAGUAGCGCGAUCUUGGUAACAGUUCGCUUUGCGAACCUUUACAAGACUGUGCCCCAGGUUUGCACAUUCAUAAUAUAUGCAGUGCACUGAUGACACUGUUUCUGUCUGAGACCACUUAUAUUACUGUUGCGGAGCGCAUUGUCACGUGAAUUUCUAAAGAAAAAUUUGCUUGUUUGUUUGUUUUUUUUUUUGUCGGAAAAAAAAAAGACCACACAUGAACUAGGUCGUUGUAACGCUGUUAUCGGUCAUUUCUCGGCGUAUUCCACAACCUUUGCAUUGGCACCAUAUUCGAUAAGUAAGGAAAUAAACAUUCAUUACAAGUACAUAUUAAUUGCUUGUUCACAAUGGAAAAAAAAACUUGAGUAGCACAAACAUAAACCUAUCAACAUAGAGUGGGUGAUGUUCACGGAAAGCACUCAUUAAUUUUUUUCUUGGCCACAGUUAGUUGUCAUAUCCAGUAUUUAAUUUAAUGGUGGUUUCCGAGAAACCUGUACAGGUCUCCUUCGUAGCUUCAUGCUAAAGUAGGGUGGGUGAAAAUUUUUCCUGUCAUGAAUUUUACUUGCCUUGCAGGCUUCCACAGAACUGAUCUGCCAUAAUCAAAUAGUGCUCUGUAAAGUAAAAUAAGGAACACCUUUUCUUCAUAUACCUGUAUUUCACUCAUUGACCUCUACCAAGCUACUCAUGUAAAUAUGUAUUUACUGCUCGAAAACGGGCAAUUCAUGCUCCAGUGUGUCAAAUUUGCCACCUCCCAGAGCUGCUCCAAAACUUCUUUGACUGCUUCCAUCCCUGUAUGAGUGGCCCAUAUAAUGUUUAAUGAAAUUAUCACUGGCAUCCCAGAAACUUCAACAUUUAACAUCCGCCUGCCAAAGUGUCUACAUCUCAACAUUUUGGUUAGAACUGAUCACUUUAUUUGCUGCAGGACUGAAGCUGUCUUGAUAUCUACAAUACAUUGGACACUACAUGCAGGAUUAUGAAUGGAUACCUGAACACUGCUUGAAGGAGCAAGCUCUACAGCAUCACUUAUGCUCCUUUCCAUGGGUUGGCAAGAGGAACCGUGGCACGCAACUCUACAGGCACCUGUGCUCUUCACUACCUUCGGAGGAGAGAUGCAUUGAAUGCUCCCUAUCAUGCACUGCCAUCUCAACAGUACCAUGGCUUUUUGUGUGGAUUCCUUCCCUUUUGAAGGCCACCACUGUUUGCACAGCAUCACAGCCUGCCUGCCUUGAUCUUGCGGAAGAAGAAAAUACAAAAUGCCUAUUUUUUGAAAUGCAUGCAUGGCUUCAUGCAACACCACCUGUCGUCGGGGUGUUAAGGCUUUUUGCAGAGAAAAUGUAAUGACGCCUUAUGUGUGCCCUGGUGGCAAAGUGUUUGCCUCUUUGCCUGUGUAAAAAUUUCACACUUAUGGAUACUGUUAAAGGUUCCUGUAUCAUAUUUUCUUUCACAUCCUAAGAAAUUUUUGUUUCAUUAUAAAACUAAAAAUUAUAGUUGAAUUGCUGCUUUGUGUGAUAUGCAAUAUUCAGCUGAAGGUGAUCAGCAGAGGUCGAACAAGUGUUAUGUCAGGUGGAGAAAUUUUUUUGAGAAGUGGACUUCUUCGUUAGGGUAACAACCGUUUUCCUUGGCAGUAUUUAUAUAGUUCACUUUUCUCCACUCCAUGGAUAUCCAGCAAAAUGAGUGAGUGCAUAGAGAAGGUGAGGUAAGUUUAAAUGCUCACCAUGGGGGUUUAGUUGGGGUAGCAAGGUGUGUAGAAGUAUGGGAGUUUGGCAGGUUGCUGGCACCAAUUUCUAUGAGUGAUCUUGUUGUUUGUGUCUAUGUCAGUUAUAUAAUGCGAGGCGUCUUCUGACGCCAGAAAUUUUGAAAAAAAAAACUCCUUAUAUUUGUGGAAAUUCAGUAUGUGCCCCUGGGGCUACUACGAGCACUUGGGGCCACUGGGUAGAUGCAGCUCUCCAAUGAACUUUUUUGACACAAACUUGUGUAUGUACGCUGGGUGUGUGCCACUGCAUAUGUGCCACUCUUUAAUGAACCUCUUUGAUGCUGACUUAGGUCAUGGGGCAUCACAACACAAACCUAUGUAGCGACAUCUGUGUAUGCAAGUAAGUGUGAGCUGGAAUUGUCUGCUUGGAUUUUCUUUCCCUGAUGACGACUAGUCCCCUUGUUGAAUUAACUUCAGCCUGAGAUAUCACCUGUUUGUCUACUGUUAUCACAUUAUGCCCAUUUUGCUGUGAACUUGUCAUGUUCUCUAGCUGGCAAGCUUGAAUUUCAGGUGCUGCACGCUAAGGAAAUUGAUUCAGAGUGGGUGGUACCACUCCUUUUUCUUUGCAGCUGUGUGUUACAUGAGAGAAUAAGUUGUACGUAGAUGUCUAUUAGAAAUAGCAUAGGUAUUCAAAGGUACUUUCAUUAUGUUCUAGGUCAUUUGUGCUGUCUGGCCUCCUUUGCAUCAUUUUUUGUAGCAUGCUUUUUACAUGCAAAAACAAAUGUGGCCUGUUCUAAUGCAUGCAAGGACUGCCCAAUAGCUCAUGGUGUUUUGAGCCGUUGAAUUUCAGUCUUGGCUGCACUUGUGGAUUUUCAACUGUACUGAAGCUUGCAAUAUGCUUGAAUUUCCUGUCAAACUGGUUUGCUUGUUUGUAUCCAAUUUAUUGAAUUAUUUCACUUUCAUUAUGCUAAUAGUCAUUGAUUGUACUGUCAUGCUGGCACAUUUGAUUCUGGAACUGCAAUAAAUUUCCAGACAUUUUA
Dermacentor andersoni is the source of this 3529-nucleotide long non-coding RNA. RefSeq lists it as uncharacterized. NCBI's taxonomy places the organism in Eukaryota, Metazoa, Arthropoda, Arachnida, Ixodida, Ixodidae. The record is from RefSeq and is a predicted model, not a curated record.